GUUAGUUAAUCAUAAGAGAUGGGGAAUCCUUGUAUCUAGGGUGCACUCUGCAUGAACAUAUAAAGAGAAUUGGGUUAAUAUUCCUGAGCCGGGACAUGGUGGUGGACGACAAUGUUAGGAAAUCUGGAGAUGUCAUCGGGGGCCUGGGAAGAGUUAUCUUUUCUUUUUAACGACUUUCCCACUCUAAAAUCGGUUCAGCCAUAGAUAGGGUGAAACAUAUGAAAGAGAAACACACAUAUUACAAUGUUUGGUGACCCCUCAAUGGCCAUUGUAAAUAUGGUGAAUCGAGUACCAUCCAUGCUCGAUCG
Non-coding RNA from Picea glauca (white spruce), 308 nucleotides. Lineage: Eukaryota; Viridiplantae; Streptophyta; Pinopsida; Pinales; Pinaceae. The record is from Rfam.